Molecule: RNA transcript, 2206 nt
Organism: Delphinapterus leucas (beluga whale)
Lineage: Eukaryota; Metazoa; Chordata; Mammalia; Artiodactyla; Monodontidae
Gene: REX1BD
Gene name: required for excision 1-B domain containing
Source: RefSeq, a predicted model, not a curated record
UUGUCUUACCAGUAAAGUGGGCCAUGGUCUCUGCCCUUCAUGUCUAAAGUUGUCAUAACCACAGCACAGGCAAGUCUCACUCCUGGCCCUCUGCCACAUAGCCUAAGUGAGCCCGACCAUCUGGAUUUUGUCAUCUGUAAUAUGGGAAUAAAGACCUCAGCCUAGGGACUGGUGGGACCUGGUCAGGCACAUUAACAACCCUCACAUCUGGGGCCUGGAGGUGUUCGGGUGUAGGUGGAUGGCGGGGUAGGAAGGAACACCCCACCUAGCGUAAAAUACCUGUUCUCAAUUUUGACUGACCUUUAGGAGCUCCUGGGUCCCACCCAAGACUGAUGUCUGCCAGGUGAGGGCUGGUAGUGCCCUGACAACACCAUGUUUCUGCUUGUCUUGGGGUGAUUGGGGCUUCCUGUAGGUGACAACCCAGGCCUAGACAGUGAUGCUUGAGAACAGCUGAGACCUGGAGUGCCAGCUAAAGGCUGUCACUUCAGGCCUCAGUUGAGUUUCAUUUUUGUCAGUUGCCCCCUCCUCCCUAAGGCCAGGCCACCACCAUCUUUCUGGUCUACCCUGUGUCCACUCCUGGAGGAGGAAGGGAGGAGGAAGCUUCCUGAAGCUCAAACUAGGCAGUUUUAUGUCCAGGUCCCAGGCCUUCUCUGUACUUAAUAGGAACCCUCCCACCCCCCACCCUUGACCUCAGGCCUGCACCAGACUCCCACCUCAGGGCCUUUUGCACAGGCCCCCCUCUUCAAAGCAGUUCACACAGAACCUGUGGGUGCCAGUGACUUGAAUUCUCCAGUGUCAGAACCUGAGUUCAAAUCCCACUCUUGUCACAACCUUGUGGCAUUAGAUGAUGGCUAUCAGCUAUCACUUCUUGGAUUCAAUUUUCUUUAUAUUAGUGGGGAUGGGAUGUGAGGAAGUGAAGUCGGGUUUUGUUUUUUUUUCUCUGUACGCGGGCCUCUCACUGUUGUGGCCUCUCCCGUUGCGGAGCACAGGCUCGGCAGCCAUGGCUCACGGGCCCAGCCGCUCCGCGGCAUGUGGGAUCUUCCCGGACCGGGGCACGAACCCGUGUCCCCCGCAUCGGCAGGCGGACUCUCAACCACUGCGCCACCAGGGAAGCCCUGAAGUCGGGUUUUGACAUAGCUGCAUAGAAACAAGCCGAAGGACAGCCUUGCUGUAUACAGAACCGUACAUUUAAGGUCGAAAACGUUAAGGCAGGCGCCGGUCGGGAACAAGCACAGGGGUGGAGGUGGGUGGAGGGUGUCAGGCCUGAGAAGCCCCCAGUCUUCGCUCCCCAUUUUUCCCCCGGGGUCUCCAGGUUAGCUGGCCGCCACAAGCUGGCUCCAGAGGCCUCCGGGCCUGCAGGGGGCGCCAGGCGCAGCGGAGCAACCUGCUCCAGGGUGGGACCAGAGCUGCGCAGUCAUGAUCAUCACUGAGGCCGCGGCAGAGUCUGCUGUCCCCGCGGUGCCCGGUGAUGCGGAAACCACUGGAGCCCCGGAGCGCGAGCAGCUGGUGUGGCCCUGGAAAGAUGCCGCGAUACGGGCGCUGGUGCAGCGCAUCCACCAGUUGCAGGCUGAGCGCGCGCAGGCCUUCCGCCGGCUGGAGGACCUCAGGAUCCCCGCCUGCCGCAGAGGCCACCGACAGUACCUGAGCAACGGCCCGCCCUACGACUUUCCGCGCUACCGGAGCACAGUGCACGAGGUGACCCAGGCCUUCGCCGCCGCCUCGCAGGAGGUGCUGGCGGUGGAGGCCGAGCUAGCCGGACCCCGAGCGCAGCCGCUGCUCGCGAGCCACGUGCGCAGGCUGCAGCAGCUGGAGGAGACGCGCCUGGCCACGGUGGCCCUGCUGCAGCUGAUGGGGACACCAGAGCUGACUGGGCAGGACAACCUGCAGAUGCACCAGCUGAAGAUGAAGUGAGCACCGCCUCCCAGUGGGCUGACCAUGCUAGAUUUGCACAUGCACCCUUGGGCACCCACCCCCAGCCAGGGUAAUUAAAACCAUGGAAGCGAUCAGCGAGGUUCUCCAGGAUCUCAGGUUUGAUGCAGAAUCUGCCGAGUGAUGGUGGCUCCCCAGGGACAAGCCAAAGGAGAUGGGAAAUGGGAAAUACAGCGCUCUGCCCUGACUGCCAGCUGGCUGGGGUCAUGCCCCACCGGACCACUGACCCUCUUCAAGUUCGCCUCACCUCUCAUAAUAAAGAACAUAAAGAACCUUU